Molecule: ribosomal RNA, 253 nt
Filed under: uncultured bacterium
Lineage: Bacteria
Description: partial 16S ribosomal RNA
Rfam family: Bacterial small subunit ribosomal RNA
Source: RNAcentral
UACGUAGGGAGCUAGCGUUGUCCGGAAUCAUUGGGCGUAAAGCGCACGUAGGCGGCCCGGUAAGUCCGCUGUGAAAGUCGGGGGCUCAACCCUCGGAUGCCGGUGGAAACUGUCGGGCUUGAGUACGGAAGAGGCGAGUGGAAUUCCUGGUGUAGCGGUGAAAUGCGCAGAUAUCAGGAGGAACACCAAUUGCGAAGGCAGCUCGCUGGGACGUUACUGACGCUGAUGUGCGAAAGCGUGGGGAGCAAACAGG